GACGAACGCUGGCGGCGUGCUUAACACAUGCAAGUCGAACGGAAAGGCCCUGCUUGCAGGGUCCUCGAGUGGCGAACGGGUGAGUAACACGUGGGUGAUCUGCCCUGCACUUCGGGAUAAGCCUGGGAAACUGGGUCUAAUACCGGAUAGAAGCCAUUUUUAGUGUGGUGGUUGGAAAGUUUUUUCGGUGUAGGAUGAGCUUGCGGCCUAUCAGCUUGUUGGUGGGGUAAUGGCAUACCAAGGCGGCGACGGGUAGCCGGCCUGGGAGGGUGGACGGCCACAGUGGGACUGGGAUACGGCCCAGACUCCGACGGGAGGGAGCGGCGGGGAAUAGGGCAAAAUGGGCGCAAGCCUGAGGCAGAGACGGCGCGUGGGGGAUGACGGCCAUCGGGUUGUGAACGCCUUUCGCUAGGGACGAGGCUGUUUGUGACGGUACCGAGAUAAGAAGCACCGGCUAACUACGUG
RNAcentral lists this ribosomal RNA (465 nucleotides) under uncultured bacterium. RNAcentral's name for it is "partial 16S ribosomal RNA". It matches the Rfam family "Bacterial small subunit ribosomal RNA", at positions 28 to 507 of the family's 1533-position model. The record is from RNAcentral.